RNAcentral lists this ribosomal RNA (481 nucleotides) under uncultured bacterium. Its description in RNAcentral is "partial 16S ribosomal RNA". It matches the Rfam family "Bacterial small subunit ribosomal RNA", at positions 28 to 507 of the family's 1533-position model. The record is from RNAcentral.
GACGAACGCUGGCGGCGUGCUUAACACAUGCAAGUCGAACGGGAUCCGGGCUUUCGGGUUUGGUGAGAGUGGCGAACGGGUGAGUAACACGUGAGUAACCUGCCCCCUUCUUUGGGAUAACGUCGGGAAAUCGGCGCUAAUACUGGAUAUUCUUGCUGCAUCGCAUGGUGGGGUUUGGAAAGGGUUUCUGGUGGGGGAUGGGCUCGCGGCCUAUCAGCUUGUUGGUGGGGUGAUGGCCUACCAAGGCUUUGACGGGUAGCCGGCCUGAGAGGGUGUCCGGCCACACUGGGACUGGGACACGGCCCAGACUCCUACGGGAGGCAGCAGUGGGGAAUAUUGCACAAUGGGCGCAAGCCUGAUGCAGCGACGCCGCGUGAGGGAUGACGGCCUUCGGGUUGUAAACCUCUUUCAGUAUGGAACAAGGAUCCUUCUUUUGGGGGGUUUGAGGGUACGUGCAGAAGAAGCGCCGGCUAACUACGUG